GCUGUCGUCAGCUCGUGCCGUGAGGUGUUGCCUUAAGUGGCGCAACGAGCGCAACCCCUGUCCUUAGUUGCCAGCGGGUAAUGCCGGGAACUCUAGGGAGACUGCCGGUGCCAAACCGGAGGAAGGUGGGGAUGACGUCAAGUCAUCAUGCCCCUUAUGUCCAGGGCUGCACACAUGCUACAAUGCGCGAUACAGAGGGUUGCGAUCCCGCAAGGGGGAGCGAAUCCCAAAAAGUCGCGCUCAGUUCGGAUCGGGGUCUGCAACUCGACCCCGUGAAGUCGGAGUCGCUAGUAAUCGCAGAUCAGCAAUGCUGCGGUGAAUACGUUCCCGGGCCUUGUACACACCGCCCGUCACACCACGAAAGUGGGCAACACCCGAAGCCAGUGGCCUAACCCUUUUGGGAAGGAGCUGUCGAAGGUGGGGUUGGCGAUUGGGGUGAAGUCGUAACAAGGUAGCCGUACCGGAAGGUGCGGCUGGAUCACCUCCUUUCUAAGGAGUACGCCUCUCUGAGGCACCUGCGACGCUCGGCUUCAGCCGGGUCGGUCAGGAACUCCCAGUUGAUGCGCUAGCUACUCGGCCUCGAAGGUGCCAGACGAUCGCAGACCUUGGUCUCUCGUCUGAUCCACUGGAGAAGCCGCUGUCCUCUAUUCCGUUUUGAGGGAGUGCCCCGAGCCCCGCCCCCGGCCUAGCGUCGGAGUCGGGGCUCUUGUCACGCCCUCAGGCGAUCGGUCCGUUCCCACUCGUAGCUCUCGAAGCUCGAGCGCCACGGACAUCGACCUCCGGCAGUACGCCGGCAGCGCCCCUUGAGAAUUGCAUAGCGAGCACGAGCAUCUUUGUUCUUCCAAGCUACAAAGAGCCAACGGUGGAUGCCUUGGCGUCUACUACCGAUGAAGGACGUGGGUGGCUGCGAUAAGCCACGGGGAGCCGCCUACCAGGCUUUGAUCCGUGGAUGUCCGAAUGGGGAAACCCGG
Molecule: small RNA, 971 nt
Filed under: uncultured Actinomycetes bacterium
Lineage: Bacteria; Bacillati; Actinomycetota; Actinomycetes
Description: bacterial SSU rRNA
Rfam family: Bacterial small subunit ribosomal RNA (bases 1-489)
Source: RNAcentral